Molecule: small nuclear RNA, 109 nt
Filed under: Macaca nemestrina (pig-tailed macaque)
Lineage: Eukaryota; Metazoa; Chordata; Mammalia; Primates; Cercopithecidae
Source: RNAcentral
GUACUUGCUUUGACAGCACACACAGUAAACAUUUGCAAUGUAACAGGGAAGAUUAACUGACCUGCUGCACAAAGAUGACACACACAUUUAUGAAGAUGAUUCUUUUUAU